This 434-nucleotide ribosomal RNA is filed under the name uncultured Clostridium sp. RNAcentral describes it as "partial 16S ribosomal RNA". It matches the Rfam family "Bacterial small subunit ribosomal RNA", at positions 341 to 792 of the family's 1533-position model. Lineage: Bacteria; Bacillati; Bacillota; Clostridia; Eubacteriales; Clostridiaceae. RNAcentral also lists the same sequence under 1 other name. The record is from RNAcentral.
ACGGGAGGCAGCAGUGGGGAAUAUUGCACAAUGGGCGAAAGCCUGAUGCAGCGACGCCGCGUGAGUGAAGAAGUAUUUCGGUAUGUAAAGCUCUAUCAGCAGGGAAGAAAAUGACGGUACCUGACUAAGAAGCCCCGGCUAACUACGUGCCAGCAGCCGCGGUAAUACGUAGGGGGCAAGCGUUAUCCGGAUUUACUGGGUGUAAAGGGAGCGUAGACGGUCCGGCAAGUCUGAAGUGAAAUCCCGGGGCUCAACCCCGGUGCUGCUUUGGAAACUGUCGGACUUGAGUACUGGAGAGGUAAGCGGAAUUCCUAGUGUAGCGGUGAAAUGCGUAGAUAUUAGGAGGAACACCAGUGGCGAAGGCGGCUUACUGGACAGUAACUGACGUUGAGGCUCGAAAGCGUGGGGAGCAAACAGGAUUAGAUACCCUGGUA